GACGAACGCUGGCGGCGUGCCUAAUACAUGCAAGUAGAACGCUGAAGGAGGAGCUUGCUCUUCUGGAUGAGUUGCGAACGGGUGAGUAACGCGUGGGUAACCUGCCUGGUAGCGGGGGAUAACUAUUGGAAACGAUAGCUAAUACCGCAUAACAGUAGAUGUUGCAUGACAUUUGCUUAAAAGGUGCAAUUGCAUCACUACCAGAUGGACCUGCGUUGUAUUAGCUAGUUGGUGGGGUAACGGCUCACCAAGGCGACGAUACAUAGCCGACCUGAGAGGGUGAUCGGCCACACUGGGACUGAGACACGGCCCAGACUCCUACGGGAGGCAGCAGUAGGGAAUCUUCGGCAAUGGACGGAAGUCUGACCGAGCAACGCCGCGUGAGUGAAGAAGGGUUUCGGAUCGUAAAGCUCUGUUGUAAGAGAAGAAAGAGUGUGAGAGUGGAAAGUUCACACUGUGACGGUAUCUUACCAGAAAGGGACGGCUAACUACGUG
RNAcentral lists this ribosomal RNA (495 nucleotides) under uncultured bacterium. RNAcentral's name for it is "partial 16S ribosomal RNA". It matches the Rfam family "Bacterial small subunit ribosomal RNA", at positions 28 to 507 of the family's 1533-position model. The record is from RNAcentral.